RNAcentral lists this ribosomal RNA (460 nucleotides) under uncultured bacterium. RNAcentral describes it as "partial 16S ribosomal RNA". It matches the Rfam family "Bacterial small subunit ribosomal RNA", at positions 338 to 795 of the family's 1533-position model. The record is from RNAcentral.
CCUACGGGGGGCAGCAGUGAGGAAUAUUGGUCAAUGGGCGGAAGCCUGAACCAGCCAAGUAGCGUGCAGGAUGACUGCCCUAUGGGUUGUAAACUUCUUUUAUAUGGGAAUAAAAUGUUCCACGUGUGGGAUUUUGUAUGUACCAUAUGAAUAAGGAUCGGCUAACUCCGUGCCAGCAGCCGCGGUAAUACGGAGGAUCCGAGCGUUAUCCGGAUUUAUUGGGUUUAAAGGGAGCGUAGGUGGAUUGUUAAGUCAGUUGUGAAAGUUUGCGGCUCAACCGUAAAAUUGCAGUUGAAACUGGCAGUCUUGAGUACAGUAGAGGUGGGCGGAAUUCGUGGUGUAGCGGUGAAAUGCUUAGAUAUCACGAAGAACUCCGAUUGCGAAGGCAGCUCACUGGACUGCAACUGACACUGAGGCUCGAAAGUGUGGGUAUCAAACAGGAUUAGAUACCCUAGUAGUC